Molecule: long non-coding RNA, 598 nt
Organism: Patella vulgata (common limpet)
Lineage: Eukaryota; Metazoa; Mollusca; Gastropoda; Patellidae
Exons: 4
Source: RefSeq, a predicted model, not a curated record
AGCUAAUCCUGCAAUAUGUUGAAAUUUGUUGUUGUCUGUACCGCGAUUGCCUUCGUGGCCGCCCAAACAACCGACAGUCCAACCACCAUCGCUAACACUGACAGUCCAACCACCAUGGCUAAACCAGACACUUCAUUCAUUUUCAUCAGCAUGGCUAACACAGACAGUCCAACCACUAUGGCCCAAACAGACAGUCCAACCACUAUGGCCCAAACAGACAGUCCAACCACCAUGGCUCAAACAGACAGUCCAACCACCAUGGCCCAAACAGACAGUCCAACCACCAUGGCUCAAACAGACAGUCCAACCACAAUGGCUAUGACUGACGGACCAGUUGAUCACACCAAGCAUCCUCAUCCUACUCAUGCACCACAUGUUGAUGAGACGUUCCACUUCUUCAAUGACAAAACCAAUAACAAAAUGGCGAUCAGAACUAAGACAGCUUGCUACAUCUUCACUCUGACCGCUGAUCAACAAAAAGCUCUCGCAACUCCAGCUGGUAUUCAAGCCACCGAGAUUGCCUUGAUUGGUAUGAUCUCUACUGGAACACAAACCCCACUGACACACAAGCAUCUGCACCAUGACGUUUCUAAACACU